GUUGGAGUUUGUGAUCUUCAGGAAGGACCCUCUGAAAAUGCUAAUUCUUUUGCCUCUUAGUCGACCACUGUCAUGGAAGAAGAUUGUUUCUUUUGGAUUCCAUUCCACCAGGAGAUUUCAACCUUUCUCCUACCUCCCCCAUCUGAGUCUGAGCUUUUCCUGGCUGUAAUUCUCUGGUGGCAGCACCUGGUCUUCAGCUGUGAGCCAGAGCUGGAGCUCAGCAGUUGUGUCUGCACCGACCAACACUGGGACACUGCAGAAACUGUUGUGUUAUUCCAGCUGAUCCCCCAGGAAGGUGCUAAGCCAUGAAGAUGGGCUCCCUGAAC
Non-coding RNA from Sturnus vulgaris (Common starling), 326 nucleotides. NCBI's taxonomy places the organism in Eukaryota, Metazoa, Chordata, Aves, Passeriformes, Sturnidae. The record is from RefSeq and is a predicted model, not a curated record.